UACGGAGGGUGCAAGCGUUAUCCGGAUUCACUGGGUUUAAAGGGUGCGUAGGUGGGUCUGCAAGUCAGUGGUGAAAUCUCUAGGCUUAACCUAGAAACUGCCAUUGAUACUAUAGGUCUUGAAUUUUCUGGAGGUAAGCGGAAUAUGUCAUGUAGCGGUGAAAUGCUUAGAUAUGACAUAGAACACCAAUUGCGAAGGCAGCUUACUACAGGAACAUUGACACUGAGGCACGAAAGCGUGGGGAUCAAACAGG
This 253-nucleotide ribosomal RNA is filed under the name uncultured bacterium. RNAcentral's name for it is "partial 16S ribosomal RNA". It matches the Rfam family "Bacterial small subunit ribosomal RNA", at positions 524 to 776 of the family's 1533-position model. The record is from RNAcentral.